RNAcentral lists this ribosomal RNA (822 nucleotides) under Pristionchus lheritieri. Its description in RNAcentral is "SSU rRNA". It matches the Rfam family "Eukaryotic small subunit ribosomal RNA", at positions 98 to 947 of the family's 1831-position model. Lineage: Eukaryota; Metazoa; Nematoda; Chromadorea; Rhabditida; Neodiplogasteridae. The record is from RNAcentral.
UCAUUAUUAACACCCGUAAUCUACCCAGUUUUCGUAUCCAAAACGGAUAUCUGCGUUAAUUUUGGAGCUAAUACGUGCACCAAAGCACCGCCAGCAAUGGUAGUGCGCACAUAUUAGAUCAAGACCUAUUGGGGCAACCCACUUGAUGACUCUGAAUAUUUUUGCGGAUCGCAUGGUCUUGUACCGGCGACGUACUGGUCGAGCGGGUGCCCUAUCAACUAUUGAUGGAAGUCUAUGUGUCUUCCAUGGUUGUAACGGGUAACGGAGAAUAAGGGUUCGACUCCGGAGAGCUAGCCUUAGAAACGGCUAUCACAUCCAAGGAAGGCAGCAGGCGCGUAAAUUACCCACUCUCAAUUCGAGGAGGUAGUGACUAUCAAUAACGAGACAGAUCUCUUUGAGGUCUGUCAUUGAAAUGAGCACAACUUAAAGACUUUAACGAAGUCUAUGGGAGGGCAAGUCUGGUGCCAGCAGCCGCGGUAAUUCCAGCUCCCAACGUGUAUAUCGUCAUUGCUGCGGUUAAAAAGCUCGUAGUUGGAUCUAAGUUCAUGACUGUAGUUCUCCAUGUGAGAUACUGCUAGUCUGGACUGUUUCGCCGGUUUUCCGUAGCUUCGGCUGCGGUGACUGGUGUUGUAACUUUGAUUAAAUCAAUGUGAUUAAAACAGGCGUUUGCUUGAAUGCUUUAUCAUGGAAUAAUAGAAUAUGACUUCGGUCCAUUCUGUUGGUCUUGGGAUUGAAGUAAUGAUUAAAAGGAACAACUCGGGGGCAUCCGUAUCGCUGCGUGAGAGGUGAAAUUCUUGGACCGCAGCGAGACGACCUAUUGCG